This 253-nucleotide ribosomal RNA is filed under the name uncultured bacterium. RNAcentral describes it as "partial 16S ribosomal RNA". It matches the Rfam family "Bacterial small subunit ribosomal RNA", at positions 524 to 776 of the family's 1533-position model. The record is from RNAcentral.
UACGAAGGGGGCUAGCGUUGCUCGGAAUCACUGGGCGUAAAGGGUGCGUAGGCGGGUCUUUAAGUCAGGGGUGAAAUCCUGGAGCUCAACUCCAGAACUGCCUUUGAUACUGAGGAUCUUGAGUUCGGGAGAGGUGAGUGGAACUGCGAGUGUAGAGGUGAAAUUCGUAGAUAUUCGCAAGAACACCAGUGGCGAAGGCGGCUUACUGGUCCGGUUCUGACGCUGAGGCACGAAAGCGUGGGGAGCAAACAGG